AUUGAACGCUGGCGGAAUGCUUUACACAUGCAAGUCGAACGGUAGAGGGGCAACCCUUGAGAGUGGCGAACGGGUGAGUAAUGUAUCGGAACAUGCCCAGUCGUGGGGGAUAACGUAGCGAAAGUUACGCCAACACAGCAUACGAUCUAUGGAUGAACGCGGGGGAUCGCAAGAGCUCGCGCGCUUGGAGUGGCUGAGAUAAGAUUAGGUAGUUGGUGGGGUAAAGGCCUACCAAGCCGACGAUCUGUAGCGGGUCUGAGCGGACGACCAGCCACACUGGGACUGAGACACGGCCCAGACUCCUACGGGAGGCAGCAGUGGGGAAUUUUGGACAAUGGGCACAAGCCUGAUCCAGCCAUUCCGCGUGCAGGAAGAAGGCCUUCGGGUUGUAAACUGCUUUUGUACGGAACGAAACGGUGCUCUCUAAUACAGGGCGCUAAUGACGGUACCGUAAGAAUAAGCACCGGCUGACUACGUGCCAGCCGCCGCCGUAA
Molecule: ribosomal RNA, 494 nt
Filed under: uncultured bacterium
Lineage: Bacteria
Description: partial 16S ribosomal RNA
Rfam family: Bacterial small subunit ribosomal RNA
Source: RNAcentral